GGCCCAAAAGACCCUAUGAAGCUUUACUGUAGCUUGAAAUUGAAUUUGGGUUUAUUUUGCGCAGAAUAGGUGGGAGGCAACGAUAUCAUGUUUGCGGAUAUGAAGAAGCCAAAAGUGAGAUACCACUCUAAUUAAACUAGAAUUCUAAUCACGAUGCCGUUAUCCGGCCGAGAGACAUUUUCAGGUGGGCAGUUUGACUGGGGCGGUCGCCUCCUAAAAGGUAACGGAGGCGCGCAAAGGUUUCCUCAGGCUGGUCGGAAAUCAGUCGAAGAGUGUAAAGGCAUAAGGAAGCUUGACUGCAAGACCUACAAGUCGAGCAGAGACGAAAGUCGGCCUUAGUGAUCCGACAGUGCUGAGUGGAAAGGCUGUCGCUCAACGGAUAAAAGUUACUCUAGGGAA
Molecule: ribosomal RNA, 399 nt
Filed under: Polysiphonia sertularioides
Lineage: Eukaryota; Rhodophyta; Florideophyceae; Ceramiales; Rhodomelaceae
Description: partial 23S ribosomal RNA
Rfam family: Bacterial large subunit ribosomal RNA
Source: RNAcentral